AGUGAACGCUGGCGGUAGGCCUAACACAUGCAAGUCGAACGGCAGCGCAGUAAGAGCUUGCUCUUACGGGUGGCGAGUGGCGGACGGGUGAGGAAUACAUCGGAAUCUACUUUUUCGUGGGGGAUAACGUAGGGAAACUUACGCUAAUACCGCAUACGACCUACGGGUGAAAGCAGGGGAUCUUCGGACCUUGCGCGAUUGAAUGAGCCGAUGUCGGAUUAGCUAGUUGGCGGGGUAAAGGCCCACCAAGACGACGAUCCGUAGCUGGUCUGAGAGGAUGAUCAGCCACACUGGAACUGAGACACGGUCCAGACUCCUACGGGAGGCAGCAGUGGGGAAUAUUGGACAAUGGGCGCAAGCCUGAUCCAGCCAUACCGCGUGGGUGAAGAAGGCCUUCGGGUUGUAAAGCCCUUUUGUUGGGAAAGAAAAGCAGCAGGAUAAUACCCCGCUGUUCUGACGGUACCCAAAGAAUAAGCACCGGCUAACUUCGUG
RNAcentral lists this ribosomal RNA (492 nucleotides) under uncultured bacterium. RNAcentral describes it as "partial 16S ribosomal RNA". It matches the Rfam family "Bacterial small subunit ribosomal RNA", at positions 29 to 507 of the family's 1533-position model. The record is from RNAcentral.